This is a long non-coding RNA of Sitodiplosis mosellana (orange wheat blossom midge), 2600 nucleotides long. RefSeq lists it as uncharacterized. NCBI's taxonomy places the organism in Eukaryota, Metazoa, Arthropoda, Insecta, Diptera, Cecidomyiidae. The record is from RefSeq and is a predicted model, not a curated record. The transcript is spliced from 3 exons.
AUUCAUAUGUUCCUUCGCAUGAUCGCGAGUGCAAUUGCUAUCAUUUAAUUUUGAAUUUUCAAAAAAGAUUUUUUGCUGUUAAAUUAAUUUCAUUAUUUAUGUUUUUUUCGUCUUUUGCAAAUACUUGUGCCUACUAAGAAUUCACAAUGGAAGAUGUGGUUAGACUUCUAGAGGAGUACAAUAAAAAAAAUAGUCAAGCAGAGCAAGAUCAAAUAUUACUCCAGCCUUUUACAUAUAUUAAAGAUUUACCCGGAAAAAAUAUUCGAUCAAAACUAUCAAUUGCAUUCAAUCAUUGGAUGAACAUACCACUCGAAAAACUUAAGGCUAUAGGGGAAAUUGUUCAAAUGUUGCAUAAUUCUAGUCUAUUAAUUGAUGAUAUUGAAGACAACUCAUGUUUGCGACGUGGUGUCCCGGUAACAAUCUACAGAGGGUGUUUUUCAAAUCUGGAAAAGAAAAAAUGAUGAUGGUGGGUAUCAGUUUAAAGAGUAGAAAAUUCUGUAACCAUUGAUGGUGUCAACACACCAUAUCGAAAUGAUGAUAUUCACGAAUCAUAUGAAAAUGCCUUUCAUUUUCUUGAAACUCUUCACCGAUUUCCGUGAGCCCGCACAUCCAACAUGUCUCUUGAUCCCAAUUUGAGAAUCUGCAGCUGGUUUGGCAGCUCCAAUGUUAAUGAUGGAUGGUUUGCGAUGUCUGUUGAGCAACAACAAAAACGUCAAAUUUUAUUAGUAAAAUAUUCCAAAGAAACAAAAAAACAAUCGCAAAUUCUUUCUAGCAUUGCGGCAAGUUUUGAGUCUAAUCUAAACGAGUCCCUGUUGGUAGCUUUGAAUUAACAAUUUAUGUCGAGACCAAGAGAUACAAACAAUUUAAAUUGAUUUACGCAUGAACAUUGACUAAACUUAACUAGUUUCCAUUACAUACAAAUAAUAGGUCAAAAAAUCACCAACUCAAAGGAUGGCUAUAUCACAGUCAAUGUUGCUAUAAUUACAAAAAAAAUGUGUAAAAAUCACAGUUAUAUUUUUUCAUCACAAAUAUUUUCAUUUUGUUUAACACCGCCAAUGACUGGCUGAAUUUGGUUUUGUACAAUAUUAGCAUAUAAUUUGUAGUUAUAAUAGUCUUUCUCGAUGGGAAUAAGGAUUUGGUUAGACUGCUCCAAAAAAAACAGUUGUCCCUCAUAUAAAAGGCCUGGGCAGUUUCGAAAAAUAUACUUCAAAAAAUAGGUUUGGCGCAAAGAUUGCAUAUGGGUACCAUAUAAAAACCCAUGGCAAGCCCCAUAUCAAAUUUUUCAUUACAGCGAUUUCGAAAGCCAUUUUAGAUCGCAACAUUUCGACCGAUUCCAGUAUUCUAACCAAAUUUCGGAAAAAACUGAUGAUGAGGUUCUGUUUGGCUCGUCAAUAUCUACAACUUUUACCAAGACAUUGACCAUUGAAAAGGCAUCAUGGGCCAGUUGCAGUGUAAAAUGACCGGAAAAAUGGCAAUUUUCCGGUAUUUUUUACAUUUUUUGCUCCACGAGUCACCCAGGCGGUGAACUUUCAUUCAGGUUUUGACCUGUGUCGUGUAGCCAGAACCUGUACAAACAUUUCGGUACUUGUCAGAUUGCGAUUUGGAUGGAAUUUGGCGACAAUUGAUUCACACAUCUAUAGGUGCGAUCAAGAGUGGUGUAUGUUUCACUGACUUUGUUGUGAAGGAGAAGAGUAAGUUUCUUUCGACUUAAAAAUGGUUAAAAGGCGAGUAUGUUCAUUUUUGAUGGGUCCUAGCGGUUUUUCACGGUUUCCGCGGAACUGAUAACAGAUAACAACUUAGUGUCUUCGGCAAAGUUGUAAUACUCGAGGUCUUCUAUGACAUUGCUGACAGUGAUCUCUUAUCUCUUAUCAGUUCCCCGAAAAGUGCGAAAAAUGAUAAGAAAAAAAAAGUUCUAUAUAAAAUUUGCUUUUGCGCGCAACUGAUAAGAGAUAAGAGGUACCUGUCUUCAGCAAUGUUAUAGAGGACCUCGAGUACUACAACAGUGCCGGGGGCACCUUGUUGUUAUCUCUUAUCAGUUGCGCGAUAACCGUGAAGACCGCGGAGGCUAGACGGUACUCCAACAUACUCUACUUUAACGCUAGCAGAAUCAUCAGAAAACAUACUCGUCUUUUUCUCAAAAUAAGUCGACAAAAAAUACUUAAUCCACUCUCGAUCUCACCCAUAGAGCAAAUCACAAACAUGAGCUUCGAUUUGACAGGUAAAGGCCAAUGAUUUCUACCUUUUCUGCUUUGAACAUCUAGUAUGAUCCUUUACGAAUAUUUUGGGUACUUAUAGACCAAAUCGAGUGAUGUUUUCACAUAUUUCUGGCCGCAUAUUCGGUUGGUUCGAUUUUAACUCUAAAAAAAUCGACUUUUUGCCAAAAAAUCCUUGAAUAUAGGCUUUUCAGGGAUGAUAUCUUGGCGCAAAGUUAUUUUUUCUCGAAAAUAUGUGGAGCCUACCCAGACAAAAAGUUUAUUUGUCAAAAACUCUCAAAAUUGACUUUUUAAGGUACCUCCCGAACAAAAUUUAUCGUCAAAAGUCGAUUUUUUGGGAGUUGAAAUCGAAUAUGCGGCCAGAAAUAUGUAAAAACAUCACUCGAU